Molecule: ribosomal RNA, 462 nt
Filed under: uncultured bacterium
Lineage: Bacteria
Description: partial 16S ribosomal RNA
Rfam family: Bacterial small subunit ribosomal RNA
Source: RNAcentral
GAUGAAUGCUGGCGGCGUGCCUAACACAUGCAAGUCGAGCGGCAGCGCAGUCUUCGGACUGGCGGCGAGCGGCGGACGGCUGAGUAACGCGUGGGAACGUACCCCAAAGUGAGGAAUAACUGCCCGAAAGGGUAGCUAAUGCCGCAUAUGGUCUUCGGAUUAAAGGAUUUAUCCGCUUUGGGAACGGCCUGCGUACGAUUAGAUUGUUGGUGAGGUAAUGGCUCACCAAGUCGACGAUCGUUAACUGGUCUGAGAGGAUGAUCAGUCAGACUGGAACUGAGACACGGUCCAGACUCCUACGGGAGGCAGCAGUGAGGAAUCUUCCACAAUGGGCGAAAGCCUGAUGGAGCAACGCCGCGUGCAGGAUGAAGGCCUUCGGGUCGUAAACUGCUUUUAUAAGUGAAGAAUAUGACGGUAACUUAUGAAUAAGCACCGGCUAACUACGUGCCAGCAGCCGCCGCU